UUUUUGCUAUGAUGAUUUAAGAAGAAAUUCACAUGUCAGACUUCAGAGAUUUUCAUAAUCAAUGAGAAUGACAAUUCGAUUCACUGAGCAGAAA
This is a small nucleolar RNA of Lathyrus oleraceus (garden pea), 94 nucleotides long. RefSeq annotates it as small nucleolar RNA R64/Z200 family. Lineage: Eukaryota; Viridiplantae; Streptophyta; Magnoliopsida; Fabales; Fabaceae. The record is from RefSeq and is a predicted model, not a curated record. The transcript has a single exon.